AAAAAGAAAAACACAACACACAUAGUGUAAAAUAUAAGACUGUGUCCUAUUACACUUUUUUUCUUCUUUUGAAUGAACUGUAGUGUUACACUGAAUAAUUUCUUUGGUAAUGAGAAAAAAGCAGAUGGGCGAGCGCCAUUCUGAAGGGCCGGCGAUGGCCUCCGUUGCCCUCGGCCGAUCGAAAAGAAGUCGGCUUCAGAUCCCCGAAUCCGGAGUGGCGGAGCCGGGCACCGCGAGGCGUCCAGUGCGGUAACGCAACCGAUCCCGGAGAAGCUGGCGGAAGCCCGGGGGAGAGUUCUCUUUUCUUUGUGAAGGGUAGGGCGCCCUGGAAUGGGUUCGCCCCGAGAGAGGGGCCCGCGCCUUGGAAAGCGUCGCGGUUCCGGCGGCAUCUGCUGAGCUCUCGCUGACCCUUGAAAAUCCGGGGGAGAGGGUGCCAAUCUCGCGCCCGCCUUACGCAUAUCCCCAGCAGGUCUCCAAGGUAAACAGCCUCUGACAUGUUAGAACAAUGUAGGUAAGGGAAGUCGGCAAAGCCGGAUCCGUAACUUUCGGCUAAGGGCUGGGUCGGUCUGGCUGGGCGCCAAGCAGGGCUGGGCGGAGCCGCUGCUGGACGUGGCGCCGCCACCCCCCCCCCCCAUGCCCUGGGCACCUUCCCCCUCGUCCAAGCCCGCCUCCUCGGUCCCCUCUGCCCCACCCAGCUUGGCUUUCCCCCUCUCCUGUCCCCCUUCCCUCGUGGAGUUGCGGGGGCAGAGAGCGGGAUGGGUGGCUGGGACCUGGCGGUGGGGGGGCGGGGGUUCCUCCGCGGGGCCCGCGGGCCCGAUGGGGGCCCGGACACCCGGGGGGCAGGUGGCCGCGACGACUCUGGAUGCGAGCCAGCCUCUUCCCGUGGAUCGCCUCAGCUGCGGCUGGCAUCGCUGUGGCGCCGGAGGAGCCCAGCUGGCGCUGGAGCCGCCCGGCUAUUCCACGCGCGCGCCGCGCUGGUUGGGGGAGUAGGCUGGAGGGGCAGUCCCCGCCUCCCCCCGCCCCCUGCCUCCGCCGCCGGCUCCCAGAGUGGUGGGGUGCCAGUGCGCCGGCAUACCCCCCGUCAGUCCCCCGCUGUUUAAUUAAAACAAAGCAUCGCGAAGGCCCUCUGAUGGCGCUGACGCGAUGUGAUUUCUGCCCAGUGCUCUGAAUGUCAAAGUGAAGAAUUUCAAUGAAGCGCGGGUAAACCGUGGGACUAACUAUGACUCUCUUAAGGUAGCCAAAUGCCCCGUCAUCUAAUUAGUGACCCGCAUGAAUGGAUGAACGAGAUUCCCACUGUCCCUACCUACUAUCCAACGAAACCACAGCCAAGGGAACGGGCUUGGCGGAAUCAGCGGGGAAAGAAGACCCUGUUGAGCUUGACUCUAGUCUGGCACGGUGAAGAGACAUGAGAGGUGUAGAAUAAGUGGGAGGCCCCGGCGCCCCUCCGUUUCCCUGCGAGGGGGGCGGGACGGGGUCCGCCGGCCCUGCGGACCGCGGAUGAAAUACCACUACUCUGUUUUUUCACUAACGUGGGCGGGGGGCAUGAGCCCCGAGGGGCUCUCGCUUCUGGCGCCUGGCUUGGCCGCUUGCCAGCCUGGUGCGAGUGGCUCCCGGGACAGUGCCAGGUGGGAAGUUUGACUGGAGCGGUACACCUGUCAAACGGUAACGCAGGUGUCCUAAGGCGAACUCAGGGAGGACAGAAACCUCCCGUGGAGCAGGAGGGCAAAAGCUCGCUUGGUCUUGAUUUUCAGUACGAAUACACACAGUGAAAGCGGGGCCUCACGAGCCUUCUGACCUUUAGGGUUUCAAGCAGGAGGUGUCAGAAAAGUCACCACAGGGAUAAGUGGCUUGUGGCAGCCAAGUGUUCAUAGCGACAUCGCUUUUUGAUCCUUUGAUGUCGGCUUUUCCUAUCAUUGUGAAGCAGAAUUCACCAAGCGUUGGAUUGUCCAUCCACUAAUAGGAAUGGUGAGCUAGGUUUAGACCGUUGUGAGACAGGUUAGUUUUACCCUAAUGAUGAUGUGUUGUUGCCAUGGUAAUCCUGCUCAGUCUGAGAGGAACCACAGGUUCAGACAUGUGGUGUAUGUGCCUGGCUGAGGAGCCAAUGGGGUGAAGCUACCUUCUGUGGGAUUAUGACUGAACGCCUCUAAGUCAGAAUCCCACCCAGGAGGAAGGAUAUGGCAGCACCGUGGAGCCUCAUUUGGCCUCGGAUAGCGGAUCCCCCACAUCCCCGCAGGCGAGCCUGUCCUUCACGCUCCCGGCCCCUCACCCACAGGGACCGGGGUCCGGUGCAGAGUGCCCUUUGUCCGGGGAGAAAGAGGCGUGGCUGGAAAAGAGACUGCCCUGUCCCCCAUCACGUACCUCAUGUUC
RNAcentral lists this ribosomal RNA (2367 nucleotides) under Trichechus manatus latirostris (Florida manatee). RNAcentral's name for it is "eukaryotic LSU rRNA". It matches the Rfam family "Eukaryotic large subunit ribosomal RNA", at positions 1550 to 3401 of the family's 3401-position model. The record is from RNAcentral. Lineage: Eukaryota; Metazoa; Chordata; Mammalia; Sirenia; Trichechidae.